RNAcentral lists this ribosomal RNA (1537 nucleotides) under Tropiometra macrodiscus. RNAcentral describes it as "16S ribosomal RNA". The stretch from base 757 to 1537 matches the Rfam family "Archaeal large subunit ribosomal RNA", at positions 1423 to 2888 of the family's 2987-position model. Lineage: Eukaryota; Metazoa; Echinodermata; Crinoidea; Comatulida; Tropiometridae. The record is from RNAcentral.
AAAAAUAUUAGCUCCUCUUAAUAAACAAAAUUAAAAAUAAUUAAAAAAAAUAAAAAAUUAAUAAAUAAAAGUAUAAUCAUCAGAAAUUUAAAAUGAAGCCAAAAAAGUACCUUAAAGGAAAAUUGAAAAAUUGAAAAUAAAAUUUAUAAAAAGAAGAAAUAAUGACUCUUACCUUUUGUAUUAUGGUUUAACAACAAAAAAAGAAAAAAAAAUCAAAACCCGAAACCAAGAGAUCUAAUGAAAACCCAACAAAAUGGUUGUAAAAUAUUACUGUUGCAAAAGUAAAUAAAGAGAUUUCAUUAGCCAUGAAAAAUGAAACGAGCUUGGUGAUAGCUGGCUUCCUAUGAAACGAGCCUUAACUCAAGCUUUUAUUUAUAAAUAAAAAAAAUUAUAUUAUAAAAAUAAAAAGCUAAAUCAAAAGGGAUAAACUUUUUGAUUUAAGGAAAAAGCCUAAACUAAUAGUUAAAAUCAAAGAAAAAAAAAAGAAAAAAAAUAUAGUAGGCCUAGAAGCAGCCACCAAAAAGAAAGCGUUAAAGCAAAAUAAAACAAAAAACAAUAAUUAAUGAAAAAAAAAUUUUAACUUAUAAAAAAACUAAUAGGAUAAUAAUUUCUAAUUAUAAAAUAAUGUUAAAAUUAGUAUUUAAAAAGACUAAAAAAAAUUAAACUUACCUAACAAAAAAAAAUUGGAAGAAAGAAAAUAAUUUAAACAAGAAAAAAAUUUUCACAAAAAAGUUUUAUUCAACACUGAAAGUCAAAUUAUAUAAAAAGCAAAAAGAAGGAAUUCAGCAAAUUCAUUAGUUUCGCCUGUUUACCAAAAACAUCGUCCCUUGAAAAAAAAUAAACUUAUAAGGGAUAAUGCCUGCCCAGUGACAAAAGUUAAACGGCCGCGGUAUAUUGACCGUGCAAAGGUAGCAUAAUCAUUUGUUCUUUAAUUGAGGACUUGUAUGAAAGGCAACACGAAAACUAAACUGUCUCCUUUUUGAAAAAAGAAAUUAGUAUAUUUGUGAAGAAACAAAUAUAAAAACGUAAGACGAGAAGACCCUGUCGAGCUUAAGAAAAUUUUUAUAAAAACAAAAAAAUAGAUAAACUUUUAACUAAAUCUUAAAAACUAAAAUAAAAAUAUCUUUGGUUGGGGCAACCACGAAGAAAAAAUAACCUUUGGAAAAACAAAAAAAAAUUAACAAAUUUAAAAAUUUUAAUAAAAACAAAAGAUCCAGAAUAUUCUGAUCAAAGAAAAAAGUUACCGCAGGGAUAACAGCGUUAUUCUCUUUAAGAGUUCAUAUUGACAAGAGAGUUUGCGACCUCGAUGUUGGACCGGGACAUCCUAGAAGUGCAAAAGCCUCUAAAGGUAGGUCUGUUCGACCUUUAAAGUCCUACGCGAUCUGAGUUCAGACCGACGCAAGUCAGGUCAGUUUCUAUCUACGAAAAAAAGAGCCUUACUAGUACGAAAGGAAUUUAAGACUAGAGUUAAUUUUUCUAACAAAACUCUAAAUAAUAAUACUGAAGAAAAAUAAAGAAAACUUUUAAUUUUGUAAGU